CUUGCGCAAUGGACGGGAGUCCGACGCAGCGACGCCGCGUGGGUGAAGACGGCCUUCGGGUUGUAAAGCCCUUUUCUGGGGGAAGAGAGAGGACGGUACUCCAGGAAUAAGUGUCGGCUAACUACGUGCCAGCAGCCGCGGUAAUACGUAGGACACGAGCGUUAUCCGGAUUUACUGGGCGUAAAGCGCCUGUAGGCGGUUCUUCAAGUCGUUUGUGAAAGCCCUGGGCUCAACCUGGGGAGGCCAAGCGAUACUGGAGGACUUGAGGGUGACAGAGGGGAGUGGAAUUUCCGGUGUAGCGGUAAAAUGCGCAGAUAUCGGGAGGAACACCAGUGGCGAAGGCGGCUCCCUGGGUCACCCCUGACGCUGAGAGGCGAAAGCUAGGGGAGCAAACAG
This 396-nucleotide ribosomal RNA is filed under the name uncultured bacterium. RNAcentral's name for it is "bacterial SSU rRNA". It matches the Rfam family "Bacterial small subunit ribosomal RNA", at positions 363 to 775 of the family's 1533-position model. The record is from RNAcentral.